GGCCUGUAGCUCAGCUUGGUUAGAGCGCACGCCUGAUAAGCGUGAGGUCGGUAGUUCAAGUCUACCCAGGCCCACCAUA
This 79-nucleotide transfer RNA is filed under the name uncultured Alphaproteobacteria bacterium. RNAcentral describes it as "tRNA-Ile". It matches the Rfam family "tRNA". Rfam says of the family: Transfer RNA (tRNA) molecules are approximately 80 nucleotides in length. Their secondary structure includes four short double-helical elements and three loops (D, anti-codon, and T loops). Further hydrogen bonds mediate the characteristic L-shaped molecular structure. tRNAs have two regions of fundamental functional importance: the anti-codon, which is responsible for specific mRNA codon recognition, and the 3' end, to which the tRNAs corresponding amino acid is attached (by aminoacyl-tRNA synthetases). tRNAs cope with the degeneracy of the genetic code in two manners: having more than one tRNA (with a specific anti-codon) for a particular amino acid; and 'wobble' base-pairing, i.e. permitting non-standard base-pairing at the 3rd anti-codon position. The record is from RNAcentral. Lineage: Bacteria; Pseudomonadati; Pseudomonadota; Alphaproteobacteria.